CACGUAGGUGGUAAUGUAAGUCAGAUGUGAAAUCCCUGGGCUUAACCUAGGAACUGCAUUUGAAACUGUGUUACUAGAGUACUGUAGAGGGAGGUAGAAUUCCAGGUGUAGCGGUGAAAUGCGUAGAUAUCUGGAGGAAUACCGGUGGCGAAGGCGGCCUCCUGGACAGAGACUGACGUUGAGGUGCGAAAGCGUGGGGAGCAAACA
RNAcentral lists this ribosomal RNA (207 nucleotides) under uncultured Pseudomonadota bacterium. RNAcentral describes it as "uncultured proteobacterium partial 16S ribosomal RNA". It matches the Rfam family "Bacterial small subunit ribosomal RNA", at positions 568 to 774 of the family's 1533-position model. Lineage: Bacteria; Pseudomonadati; Pseudomonadota. The record is from RNAcentral.